RNAcentral lists this small nuclear RNA (105 nucleotides) under Tropilaelaps mercedesae. Its description in RNAcentral is "U2 spliceosomal RNA". It matches the Rfam family "U2 spliceosomal RNA". From Rfam's summary of the family: U2 is a small nuclear RNA (snRNA) component of the spliceosome (involved in pre-mRNA splicing). Lineage: Eukaryota; Metazoa; Arthropoda; Arachnida; Mesostigmata; Laelapidae. The record is from Rfam by way of RNAcentral.
UUAACUCCCUCACAAUAGUAUCUGUUCUUAUCAGCUUAAUAUCUGAUACGGGGGACAUUGUCCCCCAAGAUAUUAAACUAUUUUUUGGAACAGAUACUACACUUU